GAUGAACGCUGGCGGCGUGCUUAACACAUGCAAGUCGAACGGAAAGGCUCCUGCUUGCAGGGGUCCUCGAGUGUCGCACGGGUGAGUAACACGUGGGUGAUCUGCCCUGCACUUCGGGAUAAGCCUGUGAAACUGGGUAUCAUACCGGAUAGGACCACAUUAUGGUUGGUGUGGUGGAAAGUUUUUCGGUGUGGGGUGAGCUCGCGGCCUAUCAGCUUGUUGGUGGGGUAAUGGCCUACCAAGGCGUCGACGGGUAGCCGGCCUGUGAGGGGGUACGGCCACCGUGGGACUGAGAUACGGCCCAGACUCCUACGGGAGGCAGGAGUGGGGAAUAUUGCACAAUGCGCGCAAGCGUGAUGCAGCGACGCCGCGUGGGGGAUGACGGCUUUCGGGUUGUAAACUCCUUUCGCUAGGGACGAAGCGUUUUUGUGACGGUACCUGGAGAAGAAGCACCGGCUAACUACGUG
Molecule: ribosomal RNA, 467 nt
Filed under: uncultured bacterium
Lineage: Bacteria
Description: partial 16S ribosomal RNA
Rfam family: Bacterial small subunit ribosomal RNA
Source: RNAcentral